GAUAGAUAGAUAGAUAGAUAGAUAGAUAGAUAGAUAGAUAGAUAGAUAGAUAGAUAGAUAGAUAGAUAGAUAGAUAGAUAGAUAGAUACAAUAAACAUCAGUUGCUGUGCGUAUCAAAAGGGUAAAUGCUGUCAACUGUAAAGGAUGUGCAAUUAUGCAGUUAUAUAGUAAUUUAGCAGUGCUAACAAUAUAAACAGUGGACAAUAAAUAAACUAUAAACUAUUAGUGCAGAAUAUUGAACAGUCUUAUGUCCUGAGGGACAAAAGACUUCUAUGGUGUAUGUGGAUGUGACACAGUGGAUCGAGAAAUAUUAAAUACUUACCACACAACCUCAGAAAUGGAACAUCCCAUUCAUCUAUCCAUUCGCCUACUAUCAGCCCUCACUCGAAAUCCCAUAAUUCACCUGGCCUUACUGUGACCUCUCACGACUUAUAAAGAUGUGGGCAUUUCCAAACCAUGCCCUAAAGUGGGACCGCAUGAUUUGAUUAAUUAAUAUACUGUUGUCCCAUGACUUUUGGUAUGUCUGUAUUCAUACAAUGUAUAUACCAUUUUAAAUAAAUAAUAUUUUUUUUAUGUAUGUUAAUUUUAUUUCAGGCUUGAUUGUUGGCAUCCUGGGAGGCAUCGUAUUUGCGGUGGCAGUGGUCGUUGCUAUUGCGAUGUUUGUUACUCAAAGGAAGGCAAAACGUGUGGACAUGAAAAAAGUGCCGACGACUGAUAUCGAGAUGAGCUAAACAAGGAAACCUAAAUUCCUGAACUGCGUUUUUAUGUUUUUUACCUCUUUUUUAAAGACUUAUUGAUUUAUUUGAUCACUGUAUGGAAAUUAUGUGAAUAGCCUCCAAUGAUCUAGAGCUAAGGGGCGUCAGUGUGUUUAGUGUAUGUUAAAAAGCGUGCUGUAAUGCUGUAACAAAUGUAAUAAUUCAAUCGUUCUUGUCACACAAAAACACAAAAAAGAACCUGUCAAAAAAAAAUAUUAUCUUUUAUAAUAUAAAAAGACUUAAAGCCAUUUUUUUUAUUUUGGAACAAUUCUAUGGGUUCAUUCAUCAUAAAAUUUUAACAUGACUUUCAGAUUAUUGUUAAAAAGAGAACAAUAGCGUUAAAAUAAAAAAGAGUUCUAAUUUUUUUGUGACAGUAACAAAAGGUUUAUUAUGACAUUUGUGUAGUAAUUCACAAAUUAAAAUAUUUUAACCUCUUGUAAUUAAUCAGACUGUUAUUGUUACUGUGCCUUCAAGAAAGAUAUAUGUAAAUGAC
This 1248-nucleotide long non-coding RNA is filed under the name Astyanax mexicanus (Mexican tetra). Its description in RNAcentral is "lncRNA (ENSAMXG00005014865.1)". Lineage: Eukaryota; Metazoa; Chordata; Actinopteri; Characiformes; Acestrorhamphidae. The record is from RNAcentral.